This 71-nucleotide transfer RNA is filed under the name Raiamas steindachneri. Its description in RNAcentral is "tRNA-Gln". It matches the Rfam family "tRNA". Rfam says of the family: Transfer RNA (tRNA) molecules are approximately 80 nucleotides in length. Their secondary structure includes four short double-helical elements and three loops (D, anti-codon, and T loops). Lineage: Eukaryota; Metazoa; Chordata; Actinopteri; Cypriniformes; Danionidae. The record is from RNAcentral.
UAGAAAGUGGUGUAGGGGAAGCACUAAGAGUUUUGAUCUCUUCAGUAUGGGUUCAACUCCCUUCUUUCUAA